GACGAACGCUGGCGGCGUGCUUAACACAUGCAAGUCGAACGGAAAGGCCCUGCUUUUGUUGGGUGCUCGAGUGGCGAACGCGUGAGUAACACGUGAGUAACCUGCCCUUGACUUUGUGAUAACUUCAGGAGACUGGGGCUAAUACCCGAGAUGAGCUCCUGCUGCAUAGUGUUGGUUGGAAAAUGUCGGCUGUUGUGUAUGGACUGGAUGGUUAUCAGCUGGUUGGUGGGGUAGGUGCGUACCAGGGCUUUGACGGGUAGCCGGCCUGGGAGGGUGAACGGCGACAUUGGGACUGCGAUACGGAGCAGAAUCCUACGGGAGGCAGCAGUGGGGAAUAUUGCACAAUGGCGGGAAGCCUGAUGCAGAAACGUCGGGUGCGGGAUGCCGGCUUUCGGGUUGUAAACCGCUUUCGCCUGUGAUGAACAGGGAGUGACGGUAAUGGGUCAAGAAGCCCCGGCUAACUACGUG
RNAcentral lists this ribosomal RNA (468 nucleotides) under uncultured bacterium. RNAcentral's name for it is "partial 16S ribosomal RNA". It matches the Rfam family "Bacterial small subunit ribosomal RNA", at positions 28 to 507 of the family's 1533-position model. The record is from RNAcentral.